GCCUUCUUGGCUCAGUUGGCUAGAGCGCAGGUCUCAUAGAAAUAUGACACGUUGAUUAUCGUGCAAUCCUGAGGUCGCAAGUUCGAGCCUUGCAGAGGGCA
This is a non-coding RNA of Termitomyces sp. T159_Od127, 101 nucleotides long. Lineage: Eukaryota; Fungi; Basidiomycota; Agaricomycetes; Agaricales; Lyophyllaceae. The record is from the annotation of a GenBank genome assembly.